This 460-nucleotide ribosomal RNA is filed under the name uncultured bacterium. Its description in RNAcentral is "partial 16S ribosomal RNA". It matches the Rfam family "Bacterial small subunit ribosomal RNA", at positions 338 to 795 of the family's 1533-position model. The record is from RNAcentral.
CCUACGGGAGGCAGCAGUGAGGAAUAUUGGUCAAUGGACGAGAGUCUGAACCAGCCAAGUAGCGUGAAGGAUGACUGCCCUAUGGGUUGUAAACUUCUUUUAUAUGGGAAUAAAAUGUUCCACGUGUGGGAUUUUGUAUGUACCAUAUGAAUAAGGAUCGGCUAACUCCGUGCCAGCAGCCGCGGUAAUACGGAGGAUCCGAGCGUUAUCUGGAUUUAUUGGGUUUAAAGGGAGCGUAGGUGGAUUGUUAAGUCAGUUGUGAAAGUUUGCGGCUCAACCGUAAAAUUGCAGUUGAAACUGGCAGUCUGGAGUGGGCGAGAAGUAUGCGGAAUGCGUGGUGUAGCGGUGAAAUGCAUAGAUAUCACGCAGAACUCCGAUUGCGAAGGCAGCAUACCGGCGCCCUACUGACGCUGAGGCACGAAAGCGUGGGUAUCGAACAGGAUUAGAUACCCGGGUAGUC